AUAAUGACUAUGUGGUAAAAUAUAUAUUUAUUGAAACAACUGAAUAUGAUUUAAUGAAACACAAUUCACAGGACCGCCUAGACUGAUGCCUUGAGUGCUUUCAACAGCCAUAGCAACGACCUUGACAUCUCGGUUUAUUCUUUCAUAAUCUUGAUACCAGUAUUUAGUUUUAGUUUUAAAAAAUGAAUUCUGGGUAUGGCACUUUCUCUUUGCCCGAUGUAGCUCCGCCUUUUUGCUUUUUUUU
This is a non-coding RNA of Biomphalaria pfeifferi, 244 nucleotides long. The record is from the annotation of a GenBank genome assembly. Lineage: Eukaryota; Metazoa; Mollusca; Gastropoda; Planorbidae.